RNAcentral lists this ribosomal RNA (497 nucleotides) under uncultured bacterium. RNAcentral describes it as "partial 16S ribosomal RNA". It matches the Rfam family "Bacterial small subunit ribosomal RNA", at positions 28 to 507 of the family's 1533-position model. The record is from RNAcentral.
GAUGAACGCUGGCGGCAUGCCUAAUACAUGCAAGUCGAGCGAACGGACGAAAAGCUUGCUUCUCUGAUGUUAGCGGCGGACGGGUGAGUAACACGUGGAUAACCUACCUAUAAGACUGGGAUAACUUCGGGAAACCGGAGCUAAUACCGGAUAAUAUUUUGAACCGCAUGGUUCAAAAGUGGAAGACGGUCUUGCUGUCACUUAUAGAUGGAUCCGCGCUGCAUUAGCUAGUUGGUAAGGUAACGGCUUACCAAGGCAACGAUGCAUAGCCGACCUGAGAGGGUGAUCGGCCACACUGGAACUGAGACACGGUCCAGACUCCUACGGGAGGCAGCAGUAGGGAAUCUUCCGCAAUGGGCGAAAGCCUGACGGAGCAACGCCGCGUGAGUGAUGAAGGUCUUCGGAUCGUAAAACUCUGUUAUUAGGGAAGAACAUAUGUGUAAGUAACUGUGCACAUCUUGACGGUACCUAAUCAGAAAGCCACGGCUAACUACGUG